RNAcentral lists this ribosomal RNA (899 nucleotides) under uncultured bacterium. RNAcentral describes it as "bacterial SSU rRNA". It matches the Rfam family "Bacterial small subunit ribosomal RNA", at positions 21 to 897 of the family's 1533-position model. The record is from RNAcentral.
GGCUCAGAGUGAACGCUGGCGGCGUGUCUGAUUCAUGCAAGUCGAAUGCGAAUGGGAGCAAUCCCUAGUAGCAUGGCGAAAGGGCGAGUAAUACAUGGGUAACCUACCCUCGAGAUGGGGAUAACUGCGGGAAACUGCAGCUAAUACCGAAUGACAUGGCGAGUGCUCCUGCACUUGUCAUCAAAGGCGGGGAUCCGCAAGGACCUGUCACUUGAGGACGGGCUCAUGGCCUAUCAGCUAGUUGGUGAGGUAAAGGCUCACCAAGGCGAUGACGGGUAGCCGACCUGAGAGGGUCUCCGGCCGCACUGGGACUGAGAUACUGCCCAGACUCCUACGGGAGGCAGCAGAGGAGGAUCAUUCGCAAUGGGCGAAAGCCUGACGGUGCGACGCCGCGUGAGGGAUGAAGGCCUUCGGGUCGUAAACCUCUGUCAGGAGUUAAGAACGAUAAGGGCGCUAAUAGCGCUCUUGUGUGACAAAGGCUCCAAAGGAAGCGCCGGCUAACUACGUGCCAGCAGCCGCGGUAAUACGUAGGGCGCAAGCGUUACUCGGAAUCACUGGGCAUAAAGGGCGUGUAGGCGGGUGUGUAAGUCCGGUGUGAAAUCCCUCGGCUCAACCGAGGAAGGCCAUUGGAUACUGCGCAUCUUGAGUGCGGGAGGGGAGAGUGGAACUCUUGGUGGAGCGGUGAAAUGCGUAGAUAUCAAGAGGAACGCCGGUGGCGAAAGCAGCUCUCUGGCCCGUAACUGACGCUGAGGCGCGAAAGCUAGGGGAGCAAACGGGAUUAGAUACCCCGGUAGUCCUAGCCCUAAACGAUGGGUACUAAGUAGGGGCGGCUCCGAUGUCGUCUCUGCUGUAGCCAAUGUGCUAAGUACCCCGCCUGGGGAGUACGGUCGCAAGGCUGA